UCUUCCCCAAAUCUUGUUCUUCCCGUUUGCACCUUCAUCCCCAAAUCUCGUAGGUAUUCAAGUAGGCGUCUUUGAGGUUGGAGAGGGCGGCCUUGGCGGUCCGCGUUGUAGGGGAACUGGGCCAUUUGGAGCUUGGUGUAGGCGGCCUUGGCGGUGGAUGGUGGCGAAGAGCUUGGCGACGAAGGCUUCCAUGGCGGCGGGGUUCCUGCAGUCCUCCUUGGCUUUCUCGGCAUCCUCAGCCUCGAAUUGACGCGACUCGCAGCAGUGGAGCUUGUCUUGAGGGAUCAAGAGGCAGAAUCCUCCUGGGUUGGAGGUGUCUUGAGCCGAAAACCAGGAGGUGGGGUUUUGCUGCGAAAAUCCUAAAUCCGAAGCGGGUUGUUCUCGCUGCUUCUUCAGGGACGGCGGCGAGCCAUCGU
RNAcentral lists this long non-coding RNA (416 nucleotides) under Salvia miltiorrhiza (redroot sage). RNAcentral's name for it is "long non-coding RNA (SMIL_LNC009684)". Lineage: Eukaryota; Viridiplantae; Streptophyta; Magnoliopsida; Lamiales; Lamiaceae. The record is from RNAcentral.